This is a long non-coding RNA of Mustela erminea (ermine), 105 nucleotides long. RefSeq lists it as uncharacterized. The record is from RefSeq and is a predicted model, not a curated record. The transcript has 3 exons. NCBI's taxonomy places the organism in Eukaryota, Metazoa, Chordata, Mammalia, Carnivora, Mustelidae.
AUUGGUUAAGUGGCUGCCUUCAGCUCAGGUCAUGGUCCCAGGGUCCUGGGAUUGAGCCCCGCAUUAGCCUGCUUGCUCAGCGGGAGACCUGCUUCUCCCUCUCUC